CCUACGGGUGGCAGCAGUGGGGAAUAUUGGGCAAUGGGCGCGAGCCUGAACCAGCCAAGUAGCAUGAAGGAUGACUGCCCUCCGGUUGGUAAACUUCUUUUGUAAAGGAAUUUAGUCAGUCCCGUGUGCCUUUUUGUAUGUACUUUAUGAAUAAGGAGCGGCUAACUCCGUUCCAGCCGCCGCGGUAAUACGGAGGAUCCGAGCGUUAUCCGGUUUUGUUGGGUUUGAAGGGCGCGUAGAUGGGUUGGUAAGUCAGAUGUGAAAGUUUGCGGCUCAACCGUAAAACUGCAAUUGAUACUGGGAGUAUUGAGUAAAGUUGAGGCAGGCGGAAUU
Molecule: ribosomal RNA, 333 nt
Filed under: uncultured bacterium
Lineage: Bacteria
Description: partial 16S ribosomal RNA
Rfam family: Bacterial small subunit ribosomal RNA
Source: RNAcentral